AAGACACAAAAAUACUCGCUAAAUAAAUAGGUAUUUUGUAUUAUAAUGAUUCUAUAGGUAGUCGGACCUCGCCAAGAACGAGAAAAUCAUGUGGAAACUGUCGAUGCCGGAGUACAGGUUCAUGAUGGACGACGACAACGUUGAGGUAGUGCAAUUCGCGAUUGACGACAACAACGGUGAAAUCGUUGAAGUUGUCAUAGACGGAGAUGAACAAGUACCAGCUCAUGUUGAAGUGGUAUCAGAUGAUGAUAAUUUUGUUGGUGUUUUCGACAUUUCACCACUAUGCGUUAUUGAACAUUGAAGAGGUCAAACAAAACGCCCCGGUUUUUGGACAUAUUAUGCUGCUGCUAAACUGUCUGGCUGGCGUUCAGCGCCCACUACCGGAACCAUACAACAUAGGCGCGUUGAAUUAUGUCUGUGCGUAUUGUAAGGCCCUCCACUUUAGGUGCGAUCAAACAACCCCGAAUCAUUUGUCUACAUGCUGCAAUGACGGUCUGAUGGCCGUUUCAGGACCGUGUGUGUUGACAACUGCCAUUUACUACAGAGGUUGUCGGUUGAAGAUUCGGUGGAAGGCAGACACUACCGAAAUAACAUCCCCUGGUAAAACCACACUUUGGAUAUUGCUGCGUUCUCCACCGACCUCAACACAUCACGAUUGCUAGGUCGGGGACUAAAUGUGUUCACUGUGUCAGAGGCCAAAAUAUUGGCCAGGAGGAUGUAUCCAAACUGCCAAGUCUUUGAUAUUCACAUCUACCAACAUCAUUACUGAACUAGACUGGAACAUCUAAAGACAAGCAGUGGAAACAGAGCAUCACAGAUCUUGGGUGAUAUUGAAGAAAAGGUGAAGGACAUUCAGGCCUUCAGUCUAUGAUGCCGUCAAUGAAGAAGAUGACAAUAUUAAGUAUGUCAAAUAUUUGCCUCCAGCCUUAAAUAUACUGAUUUUUCAGACAAUUUUGCAAUGAUAACAAUGAUUCAUACUUUGUGUCUGGUGGGAGCAAACAACCUCGAAUCAUUUUUCUACAUGCUGCAAUGACGGUCUUAAAGCCGUUUCAGGCCGUGUGUGUUGAAAACGCACCGCAUUUACUUCAGAGGCAGAUAUUACCGAAAUUAUAUUCGGUAGCAUUUGCUGCGUUCUCCACCGAUCUCAACACACCACGCUUGCCAGGUCGAGGACCGAACGUGUUCACUGUUCUGGGGCAGGGAUAUUGAACGAUAAGUAAUGACUUGUUCGGGAACAAUCCUAUUCAACGCAGAUACUGCCAACUGUAUUUCGUCAAAUCCGGCGAGUCAAACUGGAUUUGUAGGGAGCAGCAGCAACUACUGCCUGCCGCACACCAUCUAUUUUCAAGUGUGCUCGAAGAUUUAGACGACCUGUUACAGGACAUAAAUCCAUUCGCACAGGCUUUCGAGUAAUAUAUUAAAUUAAUUUUACUGAACAAUUCACAUUUGCAUUACUCUACACUACAGACAAACUAUGUUCACAUUGAUUUUUAACAUUGAAAUUUAGUUUCUCAAAAUCGGCUAGCAAGUACACAUGUUAUCAUUCCAAUUAUUAUAAUUAAUUGCACUAUUUGAUUAGCCUUAUGUCAUUGUAGAUUUACCUGCAUACUAACACUA
Long non-coding RNA from Acyrthosiphon pisum (pea aphid), 1617 nucleotides. RefSeq lists it as uncharacterized. Lineage: Eukaryota; Metazoa; Arthropoda; Insecta; Hemiptera; Aphididae. The record is from RefSeq and is a predicted model, not a curated record. The transcript is spliced from 4 exons.